Molecule: long non-coding RNA, 1954 nt
Organism: Papaver somniferum (opium poppy)
Lineage: Eukaryota; Viridiplantae; Streptophyta; Magnoliopsida; Ranunculales; Papaveraceae
Exons: 6
Source: RefSeq, a predicted model, not a curated record
GAUAGGUCUCAACCACAUGAUUAUUCCCGUUUCUCUUUUUUCAUACUCAUUAAUCCUUAGCCGUUUCUAAAUUCAAUCUUAUCGUCAAUGCGUGAUGCGUUACUCUGGGAAAUCGAUGUUACGGAGUACAUUAAAUAUGAUUCUUGAAGAUUGAAACUAAGGUCUUUCUCACUCUUAUAUUUGUACAUUUCGGCUUAGGGUUGGCCUUCCCAUUCUGGAUCUGCUCUUUCGUUUCCAAAUCAGAAGGUCACCCAAGCUUGAUUGGAAAUUUUGUUGUUCUAUAACUGGAAUUACUCCAAUUUUGUUUCCCUCAAUCUGAAACGAUUGAAACCACGAAACCCAAAAUGAAAAUCAUAAAUGAAAUUUCUAGAAUCCGUAUCUUAAGGAGGAAGAGCAAUGAAGAUGAGUUUGAAGAAGGACGUUGCAGAUCAUCUUGCAGUCUUAACUAAUGCUUAUAUCAGAAAAUCAUAAAUGAAAUUUCUAGAAUCCGUACGCAAUGAAGAUGAGUCUGAAGAAGGACGUUGCAGAUCAUCUUGCAGCCUUAACUAAUGCUUAUAUCAGGACGAGUCUACUUCCAACCACUUUUGUGGAAUCUUCAAGUGAAAGUUGCUCUUUGAGGAGCUAAGAGACCUGCAUUUCAUCACAGUGCAAAAAAAUAAAAGUCAUUUGUAGAGGCUUUAAAAGUUCAAACAUCUUGCUUGACUCCCCAUUCAUAAUGUGGAUUCAUCUCUCACACCUAUGGUUAUUAGUUUUGUGUUUUUAUUCGUAUAUCGAUCUCUGUAUUGCAAUGUUAAAGUCACAUACUUACAACGCAAAGCUUUCAGAUAUUGGGUGCCAAAAAAUGGUCCUACUGGUGAUAAAAGUCACGUGUCUACAAGAGUCAUGGGCACCUGCGGAGUCAUGUGUCUACAAGAUCCCAGGUACUAUAAACCUUCCAUGAACUUCUUUUUACCUGAAAAUUGAGCGUUUGAGUUCCAGUUUGUAUCAAAAUAAAAUAGGCAUAUUAGUGUUUCGAGAGCCUGAAUUUUGAAGAUUUUGGAGUUAACGAAACAAAUAGGUUUUGCGUUGUACUAUGUUUAGUAAUGAUGUAUACUUUCUGAAAUUUUUAUAAAAUUGGCAGUAUAAGUUAUUUCUGAGGUGUAUCGCUUUUACUACUCUUUGUUCUUUGCAUCAGAAAAUUGGGAAUCCUAAGAUGUAUUAUAGUCUGUAAUUCAUGAUUUGUUUUAAGUUUAUAUUAUAUGUAUUAAGUUUAGGGACUCAUAAACUCAAAAUGUUAGAGCGCCCAAGCCUAUCACAAGGUUUGCGGAGGUUGAUGGUUCAAAUCCAUCUGAGUUUCCAUGUUAUGUUUAUUCAAUAUUGGUAGCAUCAUUGGUACUUAGGUGGAUAAUUCAAGUUGUAUGUAUGUACAAACUAGUGCACCUUCUCGUCUCAUGAAUAUAUGGCCUAUUUUUUUGGUAUGAAUGUUGGAUUUUCUGGACUCGUGAAUAUAUUAUAUGUGUUGUGAGUACGAAUGUUAGAUUUGCUAGGCUUUUGUAGAUGUGUACAUAGUUAUACACCAAUUUCUAAUGCUUAUUUUUACACCAUUUUCUAAUGCUUAUCUUGCAGCCUUAACUAAUGCUUAUAUCAGAUAUUGGGUGCCAAAAAAUGGUCCUACUGGUGAUAAAAGUCACAUGUCUACAAGAGUCACGGGGACCUGCGGAGUCAUGUGUCUACAAGAUCCCAGAUACUAUAAACCUUCCAUGAACUUCUUUUUACCUGAAAAUUGAGCGUUUGAGUUCCAGUUUGUAUCAAAAUAAAAUAGGCAUAUUAGUGUUUCGAGAGCCUGAAUUUUGAAGAUCUUGGAGUUAACGAAACAAAUAGGUUUUGCUUUGUACUAUGUUUAGUAAUGAUGUAUACUUUCUGAAAUUUUUAUAAAAUUGGCAGUAUAAGUUAUUUCUGAGGUGUUUCGCUUUUA